UACGUAGGGUGCAAGCGUUGUCCGGAAUUAUUGGGCGUAAAGAGCUCGUAGGCGGCUUGUCGCGUCGGCUGUGAAAACCUGGGGCUCAACCCCGGGCCUGCAGCCGAUACGGGCAAGCUAGAAUUCGGUAGGGGAGACUGGAAUUCCUGGUGUAGCGGUGAAAUGCGCAGAUAUCAGGAGGAACACCGGUGGCGAAGGCGAGUCUCUGGGCCGAUACUGACACUGAGAAGCGAAAGCGUGGGGAGCGAACAGG
Molecule: ribosomal RNA, 253 nt
Filed under: uncultured bacterium
Lineage: Bacteria
Description: partial 16S ribosomal RNA
Rfam family: Bacterial small subunit ribosomal RNA
Source: RNAcentral